Long non-coding RNA from Peromyscus eremicus (cactus mouse), 437 nucleotides. RefSeq lists it as uncharacterized. NCBI's taxonomy places the organism in Eukaryota, Metazoa, Chordata, Mammalia, Rodentia, Cricetidae. The record is from RefSeq and is a predicted model, not a curated record. The transcript is spliced from 2 exons.
AGCGUCACAAGCCGGAAUCUCGCGACGCCACAGCCGAGCUUGCGCAGUCGGCCACGGGCGCGUUCGCUGCACAAAAUGGCGGCGGCCGAGUCUGCGGCGGGGGAGGAGCAGCGAGCCGGCCCAACUCAGGUCCCCCAGUCCCGGGCGAGCCCCCCGGGGUCCUGAUCGCCGCGCCUGCCGGCCAGGAGACGCCGUCCUCCGCAAAGAGCGAAGCCCCGGCCACUCGCGACCCGAGCGGCCAUGAAGAAGCCUCGAUCCGAGAAGCCUUGCCCUCAAAGCGAGCCACUCACCUACCGGACACGGUCUUUGGCGGCUGAGACCCGGGGAGGUCCGUAGUCUGCGACGGAGCUGUCCUGCCUCCCUACAGACCCCGACCUCAACUCUCGUCUACGUCUCGCCACAACUGACGCACUUAGCAGCUCGGGCGUUGCACAAAA